Cercocebus atys (sooty mangabey) is the source of this 1249-nucleotide long non-coding RNA. RefSeq lists it as uncharacterized. The record is from RefSeq and is a predicted model, not a curated record. NCBI's taxonomy places the organism in Eukaryota, Metazoa, Chordata, Mammalia, Primates, Cercopithecidae. The transcript has 5 exons.
UACUCUAUUUUUAAAAAUUUCUGAAAUGUUUAGUCCAGUUGUAUUUGUGUGAUUGGCUGCCUUUACUGGUCAUUUGAGAUGAACACUGAUUAUCCACCUAAUAAGUACUUUUUAGUUCAAUACUUACCACAGAUGGUGGGACCUGGGUGGAACCAAGGUUUCCUAAUGCUUCUUAAGAAUUUCUUUUUUCCUAAUAUGCUUCCCAGUGAUAACAUCAUUUCUUGUUGUUGUGUUUUGCAUAGACAUAAUAUUUUUACCAUUUGCAACAAACAACUGGUUUUGGUAUUUUCAAACCAAACUAGUUUCUUAGGGCUGCCAAAACAAAGUACUACAAACUGGGUAAAACAACAAUUUUACUCUCUCACAGGUCUGGAGGCUAGAAGGUUGAAAUCAAGGUAUUAGCAGAGCCAUGUUUCCUAUGAAGGCUGAAGUCCCUUCAUACAAUGAACCAGUUCCUGAAAAUUUGCAUUGCAAAAUCAUGAAGAUACUGUAACUUCAAUUCUGCUAACACUUACAUGAGAAGGAAAAGAGGCUGGGAAGCACAUAUGCAAAAGGUGGUCAUUGGUUAAGGUAUAUGGUGGACAAGAUGAGCUAGAAGCAUUUAUACUGUGGAAUAUCUAUAUGCUGAAUAAAUCACAAAGAAACCAUACUUGCCUGUGCAUUGUUGAGCCCACAAGAAAGUAACGAAUGUCCUAAAAACCACAACUCAAACAAAUCUUGAGCUGACACAAGAGAGACACACUUGAAGAAAGGAGUGAACUGCAAGUUAGAUCUGGAAAAAUUACCUUUAGAGAGACCAAGAGAGAAAAAAUAUAAAUGAAAGGAAUUAAAUGGAAGGAAGGCAAGGUGGAAAUGCUCAUAGAAUUGGUAAGAAGACUGGAGAAACAGCCUUAGAAGGUGGGCAGAAACCACAAGAGGCAAGGCCCAGCCACCAUCAACCAAGCCCCAGUCGAUGAAGAAGCUGAUUGGCAUCUCUGAACUGGAAACUUAUCACACACCAGUGGGUCCUUGAAUCAACUUCUUUGACAAGUGAUCUCCAUCACUAUUGUGACUCUGAAGUCAUCCACAUAGUCUAGUGUAGGUCAUAUGCUGGAAACCUUGUGACUACAGGGCGGAGAGGGUAUCUGGCCUCCUUUGGCUUCUGUCCUAACAGAAUAUUGAUAUUAAUGCAGUCAAGAUGCAGAACAAUUUCUUCACAGUAUUAGUCCAUUCUCAUGCUGCUAUGAAGAAAUACUUGAUACUGGGUAAU